UUAGAGGCUUUUAUAAUUAUUUUGGCUUGUCAUUAUUAUCUAUUUACUGUGAAAUGUAUUAUUACUUGACGCUUGAGGGAUGCUCCACUGCUAUAAGGAUAGGCGGUGGGGAUGCUAACCGAGUCAUAAUCAAGCUUAGGCUUGGUAUCCUAUUAUUAUUUACCAAAAGAAUUCAGAAUUAAUAUUGUAACAUAGACCUAAAAAAUCUAUAAAACAACUUUUAACAACGGAUCUCUUGGUUCUCGCAUCGAUGAAGAACGUAGCAAAGUGCGAUAACUAAUGUGAAUUGCAUAUUCAGUGAAUCAUCGAGUCUUUGAACGCAACUUGCGCUCAUUGGUAUUCCAAUGAGCACGCCUGUUUCAGUAUCAAAACAAACCCUCUAUCCAACAUUUUGUUGAAUAGGAAUACUGAGAGUCUCUUGAUCUAUUCUGAUCUUGAACCUCUUGAAAUGUACAAAGGCCUGAUCUUGUUUAAAUGCCUGAACUUUUUUUUAAUAUAAAGAGAAGCUCUUGCGGUAAACUGUGCUGGGGCCUCCCAAAUAAUACUUUUUUUAAAUUUGAUCUGAAAUCAGGCGGGAUUACCCGCUGAACUUAAGCAUAUCAAUAAGCGGAGGAAGCCCGGCCCUUUGGAUCCAUCCCUGUGGCUAGUCUAUAUUAUCUAUUUAUGAGGAAUGUCUUAGGACUUGAGCUUGAGGGAUGGUCUCUGCUAUAAGGAUAGGCAGCGGGAACGCUCACGACUAUAAUUAAGCUUACGCUGGUAUCUAUUAUUAUUUACAAAGAAUUCAAAAUUAAUAUGGCACAAACUCUAAAAACACAAUUACUUUUACAAGGAUCUCUGGGUUCCCCUCGAGAAAAAGAAAAAUGCGAACUAAUGGAAUCGUUUUCCUAGGUACACCGGCUUGAGCAACUUGG
RNAcentral lists this ribosomal RNA (911 nucleotides) under Mucor circinelloides. Its description in RNAcentral is "eukaryotic LSU rRNA". The stretch from base 216 to 368 matches the Rfam family "5.8S ribosomal RNA". Lineage: Eukaryota; Fungi; Mucoromycota; Mucoromycetes; Mucorales; Mucoraceae. The record is from RNAcentral.